This 65-nucleotide transfer RNA is filed under the name Piscicola geometra. RNAcentral's name for it is "tRNA-Ser". It matches the Rfam family "tRNA". Rfam says of the family: Transfer RNA (tRNA) molecules are approximately 80 nucleotides in length. Their secondary structure includes four short double-helical elements and three loops (D, anti-codon, and T loops). Further hydrogen bonds mediate the characteristic L-shaped molecular structure. tRNAs have two regions of fundamental functional importance: the anti-codon, which is responsible for specific mRNA codon recognition, and the 3' end, to which the tRNAs corresponding amino acid is attached (by aminoacyl-tRNA synthetases). tRNAs cope with the degeneracy of the genetic code in two manners: having more than one tRNA (with a specific anti-codon) for a particular amino acid; and 'wobble' base-pairing, i.e. permitting non-standard base-pairing at the 3rd anti-codon position. Lineage: Eukaryota; Metazoa; Annelida; Clitellata; Hirudinida; Piscicolidae. The record is from RNAcentral.
AAGAAAUUAAGGUAAACAAAAAGCUUCUAACUUUUAGUAGAUAGUUCGAUUCUAUCAAUUUCUUA